UUGGUUAAGUUAGAAAGGGCGCACGGUGGAUGCCUUGGCACUAGGAGCCGAAGAAGGACGGGACUAACACCGAUAUGCUUUGGGGAGCUGUACGUAAGCGUUGAUCCAGAGAUUUCCGAAUGGGGGAACCCACUAUCUUUAGUCGGAUAGUAUCCUUACGUGAAUACAUAGCGUAAGGAAGGCAGACCCAGGGAACUGAAACAUCUAAGUACCUGGAGGAAGAGAAAGAAAAAUCGAUUUCCUGAGUAGCGGCGAGCGAAACGGAAAGAGCCCAAACCAAGAAGCUUGCUUCUUGGGGUUGUAGGACACUCUAUACGGAGUUACAAAAGAAAGUUAUAAAUGAAGCGGUCUGGAAAGGCCCGCCAAAGACGGUAACAGCCCGGUAGUUGAAAUGGCUUUCCCUCCAGAGUGGAUCCUGAGUACGGCGGAACACGUGAAAUUCCGUCGGAAUCCGGGAGGACCAUCUCCCAAGGCUAAAUACUCCCUAGUGACCGAUAGUGAACCAGUACCGUGAGGGAAAGGUGAAAAGCACCCCGGAAGGGGAGUGAAACAGUUCCUGAAACCGUGUGCCUACAAGUAGUUAGAGCCCGUUAAUGGGUGAUAGCGUGCCUUUUGUAGAAUGAACCGGCGAGUUACGAUUUGUUGCAAGGUUAAGCGGAAAAAGCGGAGCCGUAGCGAAAGCGAGUCUGAAUAGGGCGCAUAAGUAACAGGUCGUAGACCCGAAACCAGGUGAUCUACCCAUGUCCAGGAUGAAGGUAAGGUAAUACUUACUGGAGGUCCGAACCCACGCACGUUGAAAAGUGCGGGGAUGAGGUGUGGGUAGCGGAGAAAUUCCAAUCGAACUUGGAGAUAGCUGGUUCUCUCCGAAAUAGCUUUAGGGCUAGCCUCGAGGUAAAGAGUCAUGGAGGUAGAGCACUGUUUGGACUAGGGGCCCUUCUCGGGUUACCGAAUUCAGAUAAACUCCGAAUGCCAUGUA
This 976-nucleotide ribosomal RNA is filed under the name Listeria monocytogenes. RNAcentral describes it as "partial 23S ribosomal RNA". It matches the Rfam family "Bacterial large subunit ribosomal RNA", at positions 1 to 969 of the family's 2925-position model. The record is from RNAcentral. Lineage: Bacteria; Bacillati; Bacillota; Bacilli; Caryophanales; Listeriaceae.